RNAcentral lists this ribosomal RNA (224 nucleotides) under Chartergellus amazonicus. RNAcentral describes it as "partial small subunit ribosomal RNA". The record is from RNAcentral. Lineage: Eukaryota; Metazoa; Arthropoda; Insecta; Hymenoptera; Vespidae.
AUAUAUCAUUAAAUUUAAAAUAUUUGGCUGUAUCUUAUAAUAUUAGAGGAAUCUGUUUAUUAAUUGAUAGUCCACGAUAAGAAAUACUUAUUAUUUAUGUAUUGCUGUUUUUAGAAUAUUAUUAAUUAAAUAUUUAAUUUUUUAAUUUAAUUUAUUUCAAGUCAAAAUAUAGUAUAAUUAAGUAAUGGAUUACAAUUUAAUUUUGAAAGUGGAUUUAAUAGUAA